Molecule: long non-coding RNA, 483 nt
Filed under: Marmota monax (woodchuck)
Lineage: Eukaryota; Metazoa; Chordata; Mammalia; Rodentia; Sciuridae
Source: RNAcentral
CUCUUAUAUAAUAAUUAGCUGCUUUCAUGUGAGCCUUCAAAGAAGCAGGUUUUGAAUGACAUCACGCUCCCACUUGAGUUCUCCUGUGAUGUGAAUGUUACAGGCCACAUUCAAAAAAAAUGUGAUGACUAGCAGAAUUUCCAAACACAACUGCUCUCCUAGUUCAUGGGCUUACAAGCUUAGAAAUGGAGAAAUCCUAAUUAAGUUAUCAGAUACCCUUAUUUGCUUGUAAGAGGUAGCCCUGAUUGGUCUCAGCCUUCCAAUCUGGGCAGCCCUUCCGGGUUCAUGAGCUAGAAUUUCCAAUGGUCAACUCUUGAGUAACAAUCUUGAAGAACUAAGGAACUAAGCUUAUAUGAACUCAAAACUCUUUAGAUCAAAAGCUUUAUGCUUUGAAGGAAAACUGUAUUGUCUAUAAGGUAAGUAGACCAGUUUCUGCCAAUAAAAGGUGCUAGUACUUUCUCCAAAAAUUUGCUCAUUGUUUCU